RNAcentral lists this ribosomal RNA (392 nucleotides) under uncultured bacterium. Its description in RNAcentral is "partial 16S ribosomal RNA". It matches the Rfam family "Bacterial small subunit ribosomal RNA", at positions 523 to 918 of the family's 1533-position model. The record is from RNAcentral.
AUACGGAAGGUCCGGGCGUUAUCCGGAUUUAUUGGGUUUAAAGGGAGCGCAGGCGGCCUUUUAAGCGUGACGUGAAAUGUAGGCGCUCAACGUCUGAAUUGCGUCGCGAACUGUUAGGCUUGAGUAGACGGAAUGUCGGCGGAAUUCGUGGUGUAGCGGUGAAAUGCUUAGAUAUCACGAAGAACUCCGAUUGCGAAGGCAGCUGACAGCAGUUUUACUGACGCUCAUGUUCGAAAGUGCGGGUAUCGAACAGGAUUAGAUACCCUGGUAGUCCGCACGGUAAACGAUGGAUGCCCGCUGUUUGCUUUUAAAGUAAGCGGCCAAGCGAAAGCAUUAAGCAUCCCACCUGGGGAGUACGCCGGCAACGGUGAAACUUAAAGGAAUUGACGGGG